Molecule: ribosomal RNA, 243 nt
Filed under: uncultured eukaryote
Lineage: Eukaryota
Description: partial 18S ribosomal RNA
Rfam family: Eukaryotic small subunit ribosomal RNA
Source: RNAcentral
CGUAGUUGGAUUUCUGGUGUGAUGCCCUGGCCCGUGCCUCAUUUGGUGCGUGUGCCGGCUGUGCGUCCGCCAUCCUUCUAGAAAACGUGCCUACUCUUCACUGAGACGGGCCACGCGAUCUAGAUCUUUUACUUUGAAAAAAUUAGAGUGUUUAAGGCAGGCUUUUGCUAUGAAUACAUUAGCAUGGAAUAAUAAUCUAGGACUUCGGUUCUAUUUUGUUGGUUUCUAGUACUGAAGUAAUGA